Argentina anserina (silverweed cinquefoil) is the source of this 1389-nucleotide long non-coding RNA. RefSeq lists it as uncharacterized. NCBI's taxonomy places the organism in Eukaryota, Viridiplantae, Streptophyta, Magnoliopsida, Rosales, Rosaceae. The record is from RefSeq and is a predicted model, not a curated record. The transcript is spliced from 4 exons.
CAUACAGUGUUCGACAUAAUGUCUCAAUGACAUAACUAAACUGAACCAGUGGGCUAUUCCAUGUUUAACGAAAAACCUAGCCUUCUUGUUUCUUUCUCAUUUUUUAACAGCUCUAAAUAGACUCUUCAAGGAUCGUUUUAGUUUUGGUCUUAUGCAAAACGGAGUUGAUUUGAGAAACUUACGGUAUUUCAAACCUUGUUAUGUGUUUCAGCAAUUCUGCAGAUUCGGCAAUUUCUGUGACUUUGGUUCUGUGUUCAAUCAUUCAUUUGAACUCCAAAUGACUUGAAAUUUUGAGAGAUUGUAGCUUUCUGGAGAUUUUCACUGAAAAAUGUGGAAAGAUCAAUCUUUGGUGAAUUUUUCUCUAUCGAUACCUGUUUUCUGGAAAUUUUUCAAACAUGCAGCUCCUUUCAUUUUUAUAGAAUCUAAUUCCUAGAGUUGUAGUUUUUACAAUUGGUACGAUGAAUCUUAUUAGAAAAGCUAUGCCACAUGUUGAGUAUUUCAAAUUUCUAGAUGUAUAAUUUUGGCGUACACUGUUAACAACUUAAACAUCGUUUGUAACCUUUUCAGAAUAUACCACGGGUAAUGUCUAACUAAAUUUAGUCUCCUUAUCACUUAUUUUUGCUGUGUUGUUUCACAUAAAAGAAUAUAACUACUGUCACUUAUUUCUGUUACUGUAAUGAGUUACACUAAUGAAGUUCAAUUAGUUCCAGAAUUGUUGUCAUAUGUAUAGUCGUUUGUGAAGCAAAUUUGCUGAGGUUAGGAUUUGAAUAUAUGUCUGCUGUCUUAUUUCUGCUUAAAUACUUUUUGCAUAGAUUCUAAGGCUGGGAGGAGCAGCUGCGGAGGCAUCAGCACCGACCCAGCUUGUCGGGACAAAUUCCCACAAUACCCCCAGAAAACCACAUUACAUGAGGUUGAGGACUACUCUGUAGUGGAGAAGAGAACCUGGUAUCCGAACAUUCACGCCCCAGCUUAAAGGCCCCAAUUCCAAUGAGGGGAUCAAGAGUAAGGUUCGUACCAAGUCUGGUAUAUUCUUGAGUCCUCAGGGAAGAAGUUCACAAUGGUACAGGUGAGACUGUCACCCACUCCCCAGUUCUAUACCAUCCCGCAGACCAUGGACAAGAACUCUUAGAAGCUUUGGGAGAGCUUGAAUUCAGAAAUUAGUUUCUGAUACCAAGUUAUGAUGGAAGGGUCCUUUUUUAAGCAACUCAAGAACUCUCCUACAUAAAUGGUUCGGAGAUGACAAUAUCUUGGAGGUGAAAUUUACCUAAGCACCAAGAGAGAUAUCCCUAUUCUUCUGCUUCAACUUCUAUGAACCCUAAAUUUCUCCGUCUACUACCUAACUCAAGAAUAUUCUGUAAUGUGGUCAUUUUAUGAAACUCAAUAUGUGCC